AGUUGCCAGCUGACCGAUCGAUUGUUUGCUCGAGGUAGGUUUUUAAUCCUCCUUUUUACCUGGAAUAUUGUGCUAACUAAGUAGAAACUCAAAUGCCUCAUUUGUAACUUUAUAGAGCCGACUACCAGCGCCGGAGUCUCUCAUUAAGCUGUUGGCCAGGCUUUUCUUGUUUUGAUGGCGAGCUAAAGAAAGGAGCAUCUAGUCCAAGGAGUAUUCUUGGAGGAUUCCAGCCAGAAACCUCACCACCUGUUCGGUUUGGGCGGGAGGAACCAGACAAGGGCAGCCUGACGAGCUGCUGAUUGGACAUGUGACCUCAUCACACAUUUGAAAAGCCUGCUAACAGCCAAGGACGAACCAGCACCUCAACGAAGAUAAGGCGACAGCAGGCAGACAAAGCAGAGACAGGGCGCAAUCACAAGGCCCCCAGCACAUUUCCGUUGUGAAUAAUCAGGUAUUGUGCGUACUGAGCUGCCCGCAUAAUGUGUGACCCUUCCCUUUAGAAGCCAUGUAACUAGGG
Molecule: non-coding RNA, 517 nt
Organism: Nerophis lumbriciformis (worm pipefish)
Lineage: Eukaryota; Metazoa; Chordata; Actinopteri; Syngnathiformes; Syngnathidae
Source: RefSeq, a predicted model, not a curated record